Molecule: long non-coding RNA, 1277 nt
Organism: Spinacia oleracea (spinach)
Lineage: Eukaryota; Viridiplantae; Streptophyta; Magnoliopsida; Caryophyllales; Amaranthaceae
Exons: 6
Source: RefSeq, a predicted model, not a curated record
AAAAUUGCUCCCUAAGUGAUUCAGAAUACAAAUUUUCAUUUCUCGCGCUCAACUCCCUCUUCUUCCCUUACCUUUCCCUGCGUCGUCCCCUAAAAAAAAACCUAAGACGCAUCUCAAAAUUUCAGUUCUCGUUGUUCGCGUCCCGUUCUCCUCUCCUCACUUCGAACACUCUUUCUCUUCGUUCCUCUGCAUCGCCGGCCACCACCUCCUUCAUGUCGCCGCUGCUGGUGUGGUGGUUGCGAUGGUUAUUGCGAUGGUUAUUGCGUUGUUGUGGUUGAUGGUGUUGUCCCGCCUCCGUGCUCGCCUUUCCUCUGUUUGUCGCCGCCAAUAAUGGUGGCCACCAACACAACAUCAUUUGCAAUCCAUCACUAAUUGGUAAGUUGAUUUCAAUUUCUCCUUCAAUUGAUUUAAUAAGUUCGUGAUUUAAAAUCCCAAAACCCUAACUAAUCGAUUUCAAUUUUCUUUUCCCCAUUGCUUGCGCCGCCCCUUCUGGUUGUUGGGUGCGACGGCGCUGUCGUCGCCGCCGCCUCCUUGUUCGUUGUUGUGAAUGCUAAUUAUGGUCUUGCUCUCCCCUUCCCUCUCCUCCAUUGUUGCUGCUCGUUUCUAGCCCAAGUUUCAUUGUCUCCUUCCCAAACAAUCCUCCUGAUCCAAAAAAGGAUAGUGCCGCAGUUCAGAAAUUCUUUGCCAAUAUGGAAGUCGCAUUCAGGGCGCAUCCACUUUGGAGCUGUUGUUCAGAAGAGGAGCUUAAAAGUGCUGGUGAAGGAGUGGAGACGUUUUUCACUGUAAUUCGGGCUUGUUGCGGGGUCGGAAUUAUUGGGUUUACCUUAUGGUUAAUUUUCUUGAUGCUAGGUCUUCAAAGAAACCUGCAUUUUAGCAUCGUCUUUCUAGAGAACGGCAAAUUCAUUGGCAAUCGUCGUCGACUUCUCCGUGCAGUAACAAUGAUGCUUGGAAAGCUGAAGGAACUCCCUAGGUACCAUGAAUAAUAACCAAAAUUUGUUGGGCAUGAAUCAGAAUGUGGCAGUGAUCGAGUUAUUACUCCCGCAACAGGUCACGAAUCAUAAGGUCUACACUCCGAGGAUUGCGCCUUAUGCGAGGAAUUUGAUGUGGUUUGUGAGCAAUGGGCUAAGUUUUUUACCAACAAGUAUUUAUUAUUGGCUUUAGCGCGCUUGAUCGAGUUGGUUUAGUUGUUAUAGAAUAAAUUUUAUAUUAAAAUGUAUGUUUAUGUUGAAAUUGGAACAUAUAUUUAAAUGUAAUAUGUGCACUUUGGUUUUGGGAUA